UGGAACGAGCGGCGGACGGGUGAUUAACACGUGGGCAACCUGCCUGUAAGACUAAGAUAACCCCGGGAAACCGGGGCUAAUACCGGAUAAUACUUUUCAUCACCUGAUGGGAAGUUGAAAGGUGGCUUUUAGCUACCACUUACGGAUGGGCCCGCGGCGCAAUAGCUAGUUGGUGAGGUAACGGCUCACCAAGGCAACAAUGCGUAGCCGACCUGAGAGGGUGAUCGGCCACACUGGGACUGAGACACGGCCCAGACUCCUACGGGAGGCAGCAGUAGGGAAUCUUCCGCAAUGGACGAAAGUCUGACGGAGCAACGCCGCGUGAGUGAUGAAGGUUUUCGGAUCGUAAAGCUCUGUUGUUAGGGAAGAACAAGUGCCGUUCGAAUAGGGCGGCACCUUGACGGUACCUAACCAGAAAGCCCCGGCUAACUACGUGCCAGCAGCCGCGGUAAUACGUAGGGGGCAAGCGUUGUCCGGAAUUAUUGGGCGUAAAGCGCGCGCAGGCGGUCCUUUAAGUCUGAUGUGAAAGCCCACGGCUCAACCGUGGAGGGUCAUUGGAAACUGGAGGACUUGAGUACAGAAGAGGAGAGUGGAAUUCCACGUGUAGCGGUGAAAUGCGUAGAGAUGUGGAGGAACACCAGUGGCGAAGGCGACUCUCUGGUCUGUAACUGACGCUGAGGCGCGAAAGCGUGGGGAGCGAACAGGAUUAGAUACCCUGGUAGUCCACGCCGUAAACGAUGAGUGCUAGUGUUAGGGGUUUCCGCCCCUUAGUGCUGAAGUAACGCAUUAAGCACUCCGCCUGGGGGAGUA
RNAcentral lists this ribosomal RNA (810 nucleotides) under Virgibacillus halodenitrificans. Its description in RNAcentral is "bacterial SSU rRNA". It matches the Rfam family "Bacterial small subunit ribosomal RNA", at positions 87 to 882 of the family's 1533-position model. Lineage: Bacteria; Bacillati; Bacillota; Bacilli; Caryophanales; Bacillaceae. The record is from RNAcentral.